Sebastes umbrosus (honeycomb rockfish) is the source of this 1596-nucleotide long non-coding RNA. RefSeq lists it as uncharacterized. The transcript is spliced from 4 exons. The record is from RefSeq and is a predicted model, not a curated record. Lineage: Eukaryota; Metazoa; Chordata; Actinopteri; Perciformes; Sebastidae.
CGCCUACGUUGAGCUGAAGGCAGCAUGUGCUGCGCUGCUCCGCUCCAACUAUGGCUCAGUGCGGCUCAGGCUCUUCACGGGAGCGCAUCGUGAGAGAGCUGCACACUGAGACGCUGCUUGGAGCUCCAGAGAGAGACAGAGAGAGAGAGAGAGAGAGACCAUCACUGCGCUGGACCACAAGGAGGAACCAGCUGCUUUUAUUGAUGCUUAUUGGAAAUAAUCACACUGAUCGAUCUGCUUGAUUUGCCGGAUCAACUUUACGCAUGGAUAUUUUGGACGCAUUAUAAGGAUUAAACGCUGUUGUUAUAGCCCUGACACACGUGGAGGAGUUAUUAUUAUAUAUUAUUAUUAUUGGUACAACUUAAUGAUGGCAACAGCUGAUGGAUUCAACGCUCCAGCUGUGUGUCCUCCUGUGGGAUAUGAGGAAAUACUGUCUACUACAAGGGAUGUCCAGUUCUCCUUCUGCUGGACAGACGAGCCUCUUGGGAUACUUUCACGCGUGUGGCCAGUGUCAUCUAUACAUGGCCAAUAUGGUUUUGGAAAUCGAUAUUUGUUGCAGUGGAUUUUGGCACAAUGAAAAGGAAUAUCCUGGAAUAUAUUAUUAUGGAAGCGAUGCUCUGCAGAUGUGCAGCAGCAGUUAAUGGAUAAUGACAUCUCCUCUUCAUCAUCACCCAGCAGUGAAGGAAUCCGAAUUCUUGGAUUGAGAUGUCGACCUUUAAUUGCUUCCCAGGGAUCUUUUGAUGAUCUCAGGUGAGCGCCGAGAAGAGGCUGAGUAAUGGAAACAUGACCUCAAGAGAUUCAACAGGAUCACACUAAAUCCUGGUUUGGACCGCGGACCAGCAUCCCCUGCAGCAGAUGUUUGCUCCUGGCAUGGCUGCGAACAGCGUGAGCUCCACCGCUGACGAUCCAAAGCGCCAGCAGCUUGGACUUGGGAGAAGCUGUGACAUAAACUCAGCGGGACAGCGGAGUGUAUUCCGCUGCUCAGACAUUAUGGAACAGAUCAGUCAACACCGUUUGGAGAGGCGCUCGAUAGGAAAGUCCGUGAAUGCGCGUUUAGCGUAGUCGCCACAAUGGAUCUACACAUUGUUUGACUUUUUCUAAAUUGAACCUGGAUUAAUAUUUUCCCGUAUAUACAUCUGCUUUUGAUAUCCACUGUUUAUUCACGCUGUUGCUCAUACACCGCAGUUGUGACAUUAUACUGUGUUAUUCUGGAUACAGUAUCAACAAGCGCUGGAGCUGUAAACGGAAAAUAAUCAGAUGUUAUUUUCAUUUUUAGGCCUAUUUUUACAGACUGAAGGCAGCGCUUGCACCAAUGCAGUGAAAGUGUAUCUUGUGAAGAGCACAGGAAAUAUUUCCUAGAAUAAUAUAAUAAUAAAUUAUGAUGAAGACAUAAUCUGACAUCUUCUAAUUGCGAUCACAAAGAAGCCAUUUAAUCAAGGUGCAACUAUUGACAUAUCAUUCUGACACAUUGGCAGCUUUUGCUAUUAUGUAUUAUUAAUCUUGUCAGUCUGUUUGUUCUGAGAAUGAUUUAUAUGUCCCUAACUUGUGUUGUGUGUGGGAAACCCAAUUAAAAGCAAUAAAAAAAAGUGUAUCCAA